RNAcentral lists this unclassified non-coding RNA (912 nucleotides) under Hevea brasiliensis (rubber tree). The record is from RNAcentral. Lineage: Eukaryota; Viridiplantae; Streptophyta; Magnoliopsida; Malpighiales; Euphorbiaceae.
GAAAAUAAUAGUAUAUUGCUUUGCAAAAGCAAGCACAAACUAAUGUAAAUUUUUCUUUUUUGGGUACAAUGAGCCAUUGAAAUUUGAACUUAUUACUAAAAGCUAAAGGGGGUUGGUACAAACUUAUCUAUUAUUUGGAUGGAGGUAUAUUUACAGGAGCUACAGAUCAUCAGAACUUUAUCAACAAUCCAUCCUACGUAUGCUUUACAUUCAUCUUUCAAUAUAUUUAAUUUCCUCCCUCGAAAGAUCUCUACUUCUCUAGGUCUGCUAUUAUUCGCUAUGCCCAGGUAUAAAUAAACCGCGCGCUAUCAUCUCCUGAACCUCCAUCUCUGAACGGAAACUCGUAAUGAAUUGCUCAGCCCUUUCAUCUAUUCCUCGCAUUUGUGGAGAUGCGAAUCCCAACGACUCCCACAUAUCAUCUGCUGCAAUGGCUCUUUCAUCUCCUUUUCCAUCUUCCGGCCUGCUUGCUUCUGCCUCUGUUGAUACUAUCACCGCCUGGUGGUUGUCCAAGAACUUCAUAGUCUUGGCACUUGGCGGACACUGCUCCACCAACUCAUCAGCAACAGGCUCUCGAAAGAGCUUGUCAAUAUACACAGGCGCAGUUUUUUUGUGGGAAAGGAAGCGGCUUCUACGUCGUUUGAAAGGAAGAGCAUACUUAGAGGGACGGAAAAAAAACCUUCUUGAACUGCUCUGAUCACGCUGCUCAAAGAAGUUAGAACUCUUGGAUGGAUAUUUAGGCUUCUUGAGAGCCAUGGACUUGUGAGGUUUAUGGAGCAGCUUGGAGGUGAAGUUCUGCCAUGCUUUCUUGGCAGGUGGAAGCUUAAGGCUGAGGUUUAAGCAAGACAUGAGAGAUUUGGGGGUGAGGGGUGGGGUGUUAGAAUGGUUGCUUAUAAUAUAAAGGGUGGGUAUAGU